RNAcentral lists this unclassified non-coding RNA (262 nucleotides) under Glomeraceae sp. RNAcentral's name for it is "partial contains 5.8S ribosomal RNA and internal transcribed spacer 2". The stretch from base 1 to 70 matches the Rfam family "5.8S ribosomal RNA", at positions 85 to 154 of the family's 154-position model. The record is from RNAcentral. Lineage: Eukaryota; Fungi; Glomeromycota; Glomeromycetes; Glomerales; Glomeraceae.
GGAAUCAGCAAAUUUUUGAACGCAAAUUGCGCUUCCUGGCGUCCCGGGAAGUAUGCCUGUUUGAGGGUCAGUAUUAAUAAAAAAUCGGUUUAGUUACAAAUUGUGACGUUUCCGGAGUUUGGGCUAUCUUAACAUUUUUGGUUAAGAGGCUUAAAAUUGACCUUUUUUGCGCAUUUUUAAACGUACAUAAAUUUUUUUUAUUCGUCUAUUCUUAAUGCCAAAAUCUUUUAAAUUCCAAUCACACGUUGUGCUUCCUUGCCAU